RNAcentral lists this ribosomal RNA (393 nucleotides) under Eukaryota sp. RNAcentral describes it as "partial small subunit ribosomal RNA". It matches the Rfam family "Eukaryotic small subunit ribosomal RNA", at positions 582 to 975 of the family's 1831-position model. The record is from RNAcentral.
AUUCCAGCUCCAAUAGCGUAUACUAAAGUUGUUGCAGUUAAAAAGCUCGUAGUUGAAUUUCUGGUCUCGGACAGCGGUCUGCCUCAAACGAGGUACGCACCACCUGUUCAGGUCCAUCCUCGGAGAAAACAUGCCUGUGAUUCAGUUCAUGGGUAUGGGAUCUUCGUCAUUUACUGUGAGCAAAAUAUAGUGUUCAAAGCAGGCUUAUGCCGUUGAAUACAUUAGCAUGGAAUAAUAAUCUAGGACUUCGGUUCUAUUUUGUUGGUUUCUAGUACUGAAGUAAUGAUUGAUAGGGAUAGUUGGGGGUGAAAGUAUUGAGCGGCCAGAGGUGAAAUUCUUGGAUUCGCUCAAGACUAACUUAUGCGAAAGCAUUCACCAAGGAUGUCUUCAUUA